CACCGAUAAACAGAUUCCACAGUCUUCUUUAAUAGAGUAUCUUUCAAACACAACUUUGCUAGAAACUGGUCCAAAGAUCGACAGCACGUGGGAAUGCUUAACAGGGGUGGUGAUCAGGGACACGUUUCCUGGGUGCCGCUUUGAUGAUGUUGUCCACACGCAGAAUCACCUCUGCUGCUUCAGCUGCACUCAGAAGAACCUGUCGCUUCACUUGAAAACUUUCUGUUAUACCCAGGAUAGCCAUAUCUCCAAUGGUGCCUUCCCUCAUAUCCAAUCCAGCAGUGGUAUUGCCUUCACUGUGAGCAGCCCUGAGCUGUGCCACCAGGUCUGCACUGUCAUAGCCUGCAUUGUCAGCUAUGAUGGUUGGCAACAUUCUCAGUGCUUUAGCAUAAGACUCCAUUGCAACAGCUUCUUUGCCUGGUGUUCUAUUGGCAAGCUGUGUCACAGCAUGAGCCAUCAACAUCUCAGAACAGCCUCCUCCAUAAACUGUUCUAGAGUCCUUUACAGUUUGCGCAAGAACACAAAGAGCAUCAUGCAAUGAUCUUUCUG
This 549-nucleotide long non-coding RNA is filed under the name Homo sapiens (human). RNAcentral's name for it is "LNC_000940". Lineage: Eukaryota; Metazoa; Chordata; Mammalia; Primates; Hominidae. The record is from RNAcentral.